RNAcentral lists this transfer RNA (88 nucleotides) under Rugamonas apoptosis. Its description in RNAcentral is "tRNA-Ser". The record is from RNAcentral. Lineage: Bacteria; Pseudomonadati; Pseudomonadota; Betaproteobacteria; Burkholderiales; Oxalobacteraceae.
GGCGGUUAUUUUGUAAGUGCUUGAUUUUAAAUGGCAUAAGCGGCCUGCAAAGCCGUCUAGGUCGGUUCGAUUCCGAUCCUCGCCUCCA